UUAUAAUUACCAUUUAAUUGCAAAUUCAUUAAACAUAGCCAUGCAAUACUAUCCUCAACCUUUCCUUGCCAUCACCUUUUUUUCAUCAAUAUACUUUGCUAAUGAUAAUGUAUAUUAUAUACUAUAGUACUACUCAUAAAACACAAAACUUAAUAACAGGUUUCCUUUUGUUAAUGAUCAAAAUAUAAAGCAUUGAAACUUAUGUAUAAUUUCAUAGACAACAUUAACUAUAAUUUGUUAACCCUACAAUGUUGUUAUUAAUAUAUAGCAUUAUAAAAUUUAUUGUGUAAUCCUAUAUUAAAAAAAUUAUUUAAGCUUAGAACAUGAAAGAGUCUCAAUCUUAAGAUAAGGCAUGUUGGACUAGAGAGAUGCUACACGUAUUUUUUGACAUUUGUAUAAAGACAAUUAGGAAGGGAAUGAG
Molecule: long non-coding RNA, 421 nt
Filed under: Populus tremula
Lineage: Eukaryota; Viridiplantae; Streptophyta; Magnoliopsida; Malpighiales; Salicaceae
Description: long non-coding RNA (PTRE_LNC000991)
Source: RNAcentral